GGCGCAUUGGCUGGCGCGCCGCGGCGCUGGGGAGAGCGCGCCGCUUUGGGCACUAGGGGUGGCCAGAGGGGUCAGCUGGCCGCCCGUCGGAGCUCGGCAGCGUGGGCUCCGGCAGCCUUGCGGAGGACCUAGGAUCUCCACCGGGAUCUAUUGUUCGGCUGAUCGAUCACCUUCAGCAUCCGCCCUUAAACCCACCCCUUCCUCCGAACUCUCUGAGGCUGGGGAAGUGUUGGUUCAAAGGAUCGCCCACCAGGUGGAAGAAGUUAAUGUGUAGUGGGACAACUCCAAGUGGCAAGUGGCUGUCCAGUCAUUGCUAGAACAGAUCUGCAACAGGACAAAUCAACAAAGUUGACUCGCCAUCCCCACCAUGCCCCUUUCUCCAUCAACAUUUUACUGGAAAGUUGGACUUCUUCCCUGAACCUUCCCCCCGGUGCUAGUGGGGAUACUAUGAGAACACUCUCCGACGUUGUGGGGAGCCCUUCACGCAUCCUAGAGCAAUCCUGUGAAAGAAGCAUUAGCUUUUCAAGGGAAGCAUUUUCAAGAAUUUCAAGGAAAUCCAGGCCCAAUGUCACCCAGCUGGCAGAGUGGAGCAGCUUCAAAUACAGUUUUGUCUCAAACCUAGAGAGAAGAGCCAUCCCUUCACUAAAUGAACGUCACAUAGAACAAAGGAUUGCUGAGUGCUUGCUUUGCCCUGGUGUUGAUGACCAAGGUAAAUGAAGACAUGGUCUCUGAGCAUUAGAGCAUUCUGUCAUUGGUUAUUUAUGAAAAGGCUUCUGCCAGGCACAAGGUUGAAAAGUACGGGCUAGAUCUCGCGGUCUGUGGGUUCGAGACCCAAGUUGGGCUCUGUGCUGACAGGGCGGAGCCUGGAGCCUGUUUCGGAUUCUGUUGACUCCCUGUCUCUCUGCCCCUCCCCCGCUUGUGCUCACUCGCGAGCGCGCGCGCGCGCUCUCUCUCUCUCUCUCAAAAAUAAGUAAACAUUAAAAAUUUAAAUAAAAUAAAAUAAAUGGUAGGAUUGGUUGAUUAGCUGAAUUCACAGUUUCCUCGUAAAUGAGAAGCGCAAGGCCUCCAGACUCCUACUAAUCAAGUAGUGGGACUACUGCUACAAGUCCUACUAAUCAGCUGUACUGAGUCGAGUUUUUGUCACCUUCCCAGGCCCUCAGCUAGUAGAAAACAGCCGUCGUAGCCUAGCACGACACACUGCAGCAAAGCAUGGCCCCACCAGGGCUCAGUUGGUGUAACAGCCUCUCACCAUUUUAAGCAACUAUUAGAUCACUCAUUCAGUAUUCAGCACAUUCCUUUGUGUAUAUAUUAUGUCCCAGGUUAUUGUAGCCAAAUGAUUACUGGAAUUAAAUGGUGAGAAAGUUUUCAUUUAUCGAGCUAUUCAAAACAAUGCUGCUCUAUGAAUUUUGUUGAUUUCUGGAACUGAAGUUGACAUGAAAACACCAACCGUAAGCAUUAUCUUUCUUAACCCCAUGUUUCAUGGAAUGGGGAGCUGAGAGCAGAGAAAUUAAGGGAUUUGCCCAGGAUAACCCAGCCAGUUACUGACAAGGGAUAGACCCAGCUCUCUUCAUAGCCAUACUAAAACAGAGGAGGAGAAGCAAGGUGGUAUGAGAUAAUGGUUGCAAACUUGUAGUUUAGCAGGGGAGUUUUUUUUCAAUCUUCAAAGAACUCUGACUUCUAGAAGAGAUCCAAGUGAAUCUGCUCUAAGUGGAAAAGAAGUGACCUUCUCAGCAUCUCCCUCCUUCCCGAAGUGGCUGUAUUUUUAGCAAAAUGAAAUUGACAUUAAACAGUUGCAGAAGCUCUGAGGGUUUGCAAAACCCAGGUUGGAAACUA
Long non-coding RNA from Felis catus (domestic cat), 1833 nucleotides. RefSeq lists it as uncharacterized. The transcript has 3 exons. NCBI's taxonomy places the organism in Eukaryota, Metazoa, Chordata, Mammalia, Carnivora, Felidae. The record is from RefSeq and is a predicted model, not a curated record.